This 260-nucleotide unclassified non-coding RNA is filed under the name uncultured fungus. RNAcentral's name for it is "partial contains 5.8S ribosomal RNA, internal transcribed spacer 2, and large subunit ribosomal RNA". Lineage: Eukaryota; Fungi. The record is from RNAcentral.
AACGCAUAUUGCGCCCUGCGGCACUCCGCAGGGCAUGCCCGUCCGAGCGUCAUUUCACCCCCCUCAGGCCUCGCCUGGCGUUGGGGCUCCGCGGCUCCGCGGUCCCUGAAAAGCAGUGGCGGGCUCGUCCGCGGUCCCGAGCGCAGUAGAACCUCGCUCAGGGUGCCUGGCGGGUCUGGCCGUUAAGCCCCGGCGGUGUCACACGCCCCGAAACAUGACGAGUUGACCUCGGAUCGGGUAGGAAUACCCGCUGAACUUAA